GAGUUUGAUCUUGGCUCAGAUUGAACGCUGGCGGCAGGCCUAACACAUGCAAGUCGAGCGGUAGAGAGAAGCUUGCUUCUCUUGAGAGCGGCGGACGGGUGAGUAAUGCCUAGGAAUCUGCCUGGUAGUGGGGGAUAACGCUCGGAAACGGACGCUAAUACCGCAUACGUCCUACGGGAGAAAGCAGGGGACCUUCGGGCCUUGCGCUAUCAGAUGAGCCUAGGUCGGAUUAGCUAGUUGGUGAGGUAAUGGCUCACCAAGGCGACGAUCCGUAACUGGUCUGAGAGGAUGAUCAGUCACACUGGAACUGAGACACGGUCCAGACUCCUACGGGAGGCAGCAGUGGGGAAUAUUGGACAAUGGGCGAAAGCCUGAUCCAGCCAUGCCGCGUGUGUGAAGAAGGUCUUCGGAUUGUAAAGCACUUUAAGUUGGGAGGAAGGGCAGUAAAUUAAUAACUUUGCUGUUUUGACGUUACCGACAGAAUAAGCACCGGCUAACUCUGUGCCAGCCGCC
RNAcentral lists this ribosomal RNA (513 nucleotides) under uncultured bacterium. RNAcentral describes it as "bacterial SSU rRNA". It matches the Rfam family "Bacterial small subunit ribosomal RNA", at positions 9 to 516 of the family's 1533-position model. The record is from RNAcentral.